This is a small nucleolar RNA of 249 nucleotides. It matches the Rfam family "Small nucleolar RNA snR11".
AACAAUGUCUUAAUUGAUAGACGCCCAGAGUCACGAUUCGUCUUAGUUUUAGAAAAUUCUAUUUCGAUAGUUUUUUUUAGACGGUGGACGUAUAUAGUUUACUAUACGGUGGGGUACUAAUACUAUUUCACUGUCGUGCUCGCGGUUGAUCUUAGAUAAAAAAAUUUCUUUUUUAUAAAAGGAAGUGAGUAGAUCUUCCCUGGAAGUACGAUCAAUGUACUUAUGAUUAGAUUUUCUUCACGCACAUAC